AUGGUCAUCGCCAUCCGCCCCAGCGGCUUUGGCACAGAAAUUGGAUCCGGAAUCCUCGUCCUGCAGGUCGAUCAUGGUCAGGGCAGUGUCGCUCUGCACGUUGUCCCUGGAGAUCCUGACCUGUCCCGUGACCGACGGGGCGUUGCAGCCGUGACCCUGCUGGAGUGCGGGGGGGACCUCCAGCCCCCCGGGGGUUCCCUGCGCCUCAUCUGCCGAGGGUCCGAGUUUGAUUUCGGGAGUUUUGGCAUGCAAUGGGUGCACCAGAGACCCGGGCAGGGGCUGGAAUACAUUGCCAGUAUCAGCAGCAGUGGUGGUAGCACCGACUACGCGCUGUCGGCCAAGGGCCGGGCCACGAUCUCCAGGGACAACGGGCAGAGCUCGGUGAUGCUGACCGUGAACAACCUCAAGGACGAGGAUUCGGCUGUUUAUUUCUGUGCCAAACGUGGUACUAGUGGUUAUGGUGGUGCUGCUGCUUAG
Non-coding RNA from Melozone crissalis (California towhee), 477 nucleotides. NCBI's taxonomy places the organism in Eukaryota, Metazoa, Chordata, Aves, Passeriformes, Passerellidae. The record is from the annotation of a RefSeq genome assembly.